GUGGGUAUAGCUCAGUGGUAGAGCACACUUGUAGCAUGCAAGAGGUCCUGGGUUCAAUCCCCAGUACCUCCA
RNAcentral lists this transfer RNA (72 nucleotides) under Camelus bactrianus (Bactrian camel). It matches the Rfam family "tRNA". From Rfam's summary of the family: Transfer RNA (tRNA) molecules are approximately 80 nucleotides in length. Lineage: Eukaryota; Metazoa; Chordata; Mammalia; Artiodactyla; Camelidae. The record is from Rfam by way of RNAcentral. RNAcentral also lists the same sequence under 3 other names.